RNAcentral lists this ribosomal RNA (449 nucleotides) under uncultured bacterium. RNAcentral's name for it is "bacterial SSU rRNA". It matches the Rfam family "Bacterial small subunit ribosomal RNA", at positions 354 to 796 of the family's 1533-position model. The record is from RNAcentral.
GUGGGGAAUUUUGCGCAAUGGGCGAAAGCCUGACGCAGCAACGCCGCGUGGGUGAUGAAGGCUUUCGGGUCGUAAAGCCCUGUCGGAUGGAAAGAAACGGCUGGUGCUAAUACCACCAGUUUUGACGGUACCAUCAAAGGAAGUCACGGCUAACUCUGUGCCAGCAGCCGCGGUAAUACAGAGGUGACAAGCGUUGUUCGGAAUUAUUGGGCGUAAAGCGCGUGUAGGCGGUUUGUUAAGUCAGAUGUGAAAGCCCAGGGCUUAACCCUGGAAGUGCAUUUGAUACUGGCGAACUUGAGUACGGGAGAGGGUAGUGGAAUUCCGAGUGUAGAGGUGAAAUUCGUAGAUAUUCGGAGGAACACCGGUGGCGAAGGCGGCUACCUGGACCGAUACUGACGCUGAGACGCGAAAGCGUGGGGAGCAAACAGGAUUAGAAACCCCUGUAGUCC